AUCUUCACAAGAUAAGAGAAAAGGGGAAAGGGAAUAGCUACCCUCCCAGUGGUUAGAUCAAUAUGAGACUGGAUAGUGUCCCACCGAAAUUCAUAUGUUGAUGCAGUAACCCCUAAUGUGACUAUAUUUGGAGAUAGGACCUAUAAGGAAGUAAUUAAGGUUAAAGGUUCAAUGAGUCAUAAGGGUGGGGAACUCACCUGAUAGGAUUAGUGUCCUUAUAAGAAGAGACAUCAGAAAGCUCAUUCUCUCUCUCUCUCUCAUAAGCCAGGAGGAGAGUCCUCACCAGGAACUGUCCCUGCUGGGCCUUGAUCUGGGACUUCCAGCCUCUAGAACUGUGAGAAAAUAAACAUCUGUUGUUUAAGCCCCCAAUCUAUGGUGUUUUGUUAUGGCAGCCCAAGCAGACUAAUACAGCUAAGACAGAUAUCAUUCAGUCUUAGUUGUUACUUUGUUCUUGGCACCUAGCCCAGUACCUGCACUUGGCACAUGCUAGCUGCUCUGAAUGAAUAGGAAGGUAGCAAAGCUGUGCUCUUUACCACUCUGCACAUGCCUUGUCCCAAGGUCCAAGCCCAGGCCUUCCAUGUACCCCUGUUCUAGGUUUACACCUCUUCCCUGAACCUGGCAUUCUACUCAGGACUCUGGUUGUUAUAGUCUGACUCAGCCCAUUGCUGGGUCAGCUAUUCGCUCCUGCUUAAAGCUACUGGAUGUCAAAACACACUACACAAGAGCCAGUGAUCACAAGUAACUCAAAGAUUCAUUACUAUAUGUUUGUCCCCAGAACCAGGCAUGUGCUCAUACUUUCCUUCCUUCCUUUCUUUCAGACGGAGUUUCGCUCUUGUUGCCCAGGCUGGAGUGCAAUGGUGCGAUCUCGACUCACUGCAACCUCCACCUCCCGGGUUCAAGCAAUUCUCCUGCCUCAGCCUCCUGAGUAGCUGGGAUUACAGGCAUGCACCACCACGCCCGGCUAAUUUUGUAUUUUUAGUAGAGACGGGAUUUCUCCAUGUUGGUCAGGCUGGUCUCAAAGUUCUGACCUCAGGUGAUCCACCCAACUCGUCCUCCCAAAGUGCUGGGAUUACAGGCAUGAGCCACCAGGCCGGCCCAUUCUCUCUCUUUCUUCCUGUGCCUAAACAUCAGAGAGCCCUCUUGCCCGAGGGCCCUUUCCCCCAGGGAUUUUCCUUUUUCCUCGCUUUGUCUAUCUUCCAGGGUGGGGAGGGGGUUGUGGGAAAAGAAAGAAAGACAGAACCAGUUCCUGAGGAUAUGUAUAAAGAACAGGAGCCUGCCUGCAGGAUUUUCAAAUAAUGUCAGAGGCUAAUUUCAGGCUAUUAUCGUGCUGUGGAUAAUUAGAGAUCAAAAGAAGCAGGGCAGGUUGCCUCAUAAGGGAAUUAAUGGGCAUAGUGAGUACAGCUGGUGCUUCUGAUGGUUUUUUUUGACCUGGCAGAUGUAAAUAGUUUUGUCAAAUGUCAUUUUGCUAAGAGUGACUUGGCUCAUUUUGCUAAGAGGUGCUAAGAGUUUGGCUCCAUUUUUCCACAAUUCACUCCCUGACAUUUGGUUCAUUGUGCCAGGACUCUUUUAAAUAUACUUACAUGCAGGUGGUGCUGGUUGUCCAGACCCAGCUCAGUAUGAAACAUCCACCUGCUAGCAAGAGGGACCCUGGAACAAGGUGUACGGCCAAUCAUCCAAGGCUGCAGGGGAUACCCAGGAGAAAAGGUCCCUGGGAGUUCAG
RNAcentral lists this long non-coding RNA (1720 nucleotides) under Homo sapiens (human). Its description in RNAcentral is "non-protein coding lnc-BRS3-1:1". Lineage: Eukaryota; Metazoa; Chordata; Mammalia; Primates; Hominidae. The record is from RNAcentral.